CCUUGUUGCCAGGAUGUGCCAUAGAAUUGCGGAAAUUAGAAUUUUCAACGUUCAAACGCUGUAUUUAGCUUACAUUAUAAAUUUUAUGUACUCUGGUCGCCACCAAUAUUCAGGGUAUCUCAAGUAGCCAAUAAAAUAAAAGAUUCAUACUCAAAAUAGCGAUUUUGAGCCAAAUCUGCAGCAGAAAUGAAAGUACUGAACAUCAGAGAAAAACAUGCUUGGCAUCAAGAAGA
Juglans microcarpa x Juglans regia is the source of this 233-nucleotide long non-coding RNA. RefSeq lists it as uncharacterized. The transcript has 2 exons. Lineage: Eukaryota; Viridiplantae; Streptophyta; Magnoliopsida; Fagales; Juglandaceae. The record is from RefSeq and is a predicted model, not a curated record.